UACGAAGGUACCGAGCGUUGUUCGGAAUUACUGGGCGUAAAGGGCGCGUAGGCGGCCUGUUAAGUCGAACGUGAAAUCCCCGAGCUCAACUCGGGAACUGCGUCCGAUACUGGCAGGCUUGAAUCCGGGAGAGGGAUGUGGAAUUCCAGGUGUAGCGGUGAAAUGCGUAGAUAUCUGGAGGAACACCGGUGGCGAAGGCGGCAUCCUGGACCGGUAUUGACGCGGAGGCGCGAAAGCCAGGGGAGCAAACGGG
This 253-nucleotide unclassified non-coding RNA is filed under the name uncultured Acidobacteriota bacterium. RNAcentral's name for it is "uncultured Acidobacteria bacterium contains 16S-23S intergenic spacer region". It matches the Rfam family "Bacterial small subunit ribosomal RNA", at positions 524 to 776 of the family's 1533-position model. Lineage: Bacteria; Pseudomonadati; Acidobacteriota. The record is from RNAcentral.